UCAUGCCCCUUAUGACCUGGGCAACACACGUGCUACAAUGGGAAGUACAACGAGUCGCAAACCGGCGACGGUAAGCUAAUCUCUUAAAACUUCUCUCAGUUCGGACUGGAGUCUGCAACUCGACUCCACGAAGGCGGAAUCGCUAGUAAUCGCGAAUCAGCAUGUCGCGGUGAAUACGUUCCCGGGUCUUGUACACACCGCCCGUCAAAUCAUGGGAGUCGGAAGUACCCAAAGUCGCUUGGCUAACUUUUAGAGGCCGGUGCCUAAGGUAAAAUCGAUGACUGGGAUUAAGUCGUAACAAGGUAGCCGUAGGAGAACCUGCGGCUGGAUCACCUCCUUUCUAAGGA
Molecule: ribosomal RNA, 347 nt
Filed under: Oenococcus oeni
Lineage: Bacteria; Bacillati; Bacillota; Bacilli; Lactobacillales; Lactobacillaceae
Description: bacterial SSU rRNA
Rfam family: Bacterial small subunit ribosomal RNA
Source: RNAcentral